UGGAUAACUUUCCGAAAGGAAAGCUAAUACAGCAUGAGACCACGGCUUCGUUGAAGCUGCGGCCAAAGCAGGCCUCUACACGUAAGCUUGCGCUUGAGGAUGAGUCUGCGGCCCAUCAGCUAGUUGGUAGGGUAAUGGCCUACCAAGGCUAAGACGGGUAGCUGGUCUGAGAGGAUGAACAGCCACACUGGAACUGAGACACGGUCCAG
RNAcentral lists this ribosomal RNA (209 nucleotides) under uncultured bacterium. RNAcentral describes it as "partial 16S ribosomal RNA". It matches the Rfam family "Bacterial small subunit ribosomal RNA", at positions 140 to 334 of the family's 1533-position model. The record is from RNAcentral.